AGUUGGGCGACUCUAGGAGACUGCCGGUGGUUAAACCGGAGGAAGGUGGGGAUGACGUCAAGUCCUCAUGGCCCUUAUGUCCAGGGCUACACACGUGCUACAAUGGCCGGUACAAAGGGCAGCAAAGCCGCGAGGUGGAGCCAAUCCCAGAAAGCCGGUCUCAGUUCGGAUUGGAGUCUGCAACUCGACUCCAUGAAGUUGGAAUCGCUAGUAAUCGCGGAUCAGCAUGCCGCGGUGAAUACGUUCCCGGGCCUU
This 255-nucleotide ribosomal RNA is filed under the name uncultured Desulfuromonas sp. RNAcentral describes it as "partial 16S ribosomal RNA". It matches the Rfam family "Bacterial small subunit ribosomal RNA", at positions 1128 to 1382 of the family's 1533-position model. The record is from RNAcentral. Lineage: Bacteria; Pseudomonadati; Thermodesulfobacteriota; Desulfuromonadia; Desulfuromonadales; Desulfuromonadaceae.